This 502-nucleotide ribosomal RNA is filed under the name uncultured bacterium. RNAcentral describes it as "partial 16S ribosomal RNA". It matches the Rfam family "Bacterial small subunit ribosomal RNA", at positions 30 to 523 of the family's 1533-position model. The record is from RNAcentral.
AUUGAACGCUGGCGGCAUGCCUUACACAUGCAAGUCGAACGGCAGCACGGGUGCUUGCACCUGGUGGCGAGUGGCGAACGGGUGAGUAAUACAUCGGAACGUGCCCAGUCGUGGGGGAUAACGUAGCGAAAGCUACGCUAAUACCGCAUACGAUCUAAGGAUGAAAGCGGGGGACCGUAAGGCCUCGCGCGAUUGGAGCGGCCGAUGGCAGAUUAGGUAGUUGGUGGGGUAAAGGCUCACCAAGACGACGAUCUGUAGCUGGUCUGUGAGGACGACCAGCAACACUGGGACUGAGACACGGCCCAGACUCCUACGGGAGGCAGCAGUGGGGAAUUUUGGACAAUGGGCGCAAGCCUGAUCCAGCCAUUCCGCGUGCAGGAUGAAGGCCCUCGGGUUGUAAACUGCUUUUGUACGGAACGAAAAGGCUCUGGUUAAUACCUGGGGCUCAUGACGGUACCGUAAGAAUAAGCACCGGCUAACUACGUGCCAGCCGCCGCAGUAA